AACGAACGCUGGCGGCAUGCCUAACACAUGCAAGUCGAACGAGAUCUUCGGGUCUAGUGGCGCACGGGUGCGUAACGCGUGGGAAUCUGCCCUUUGGUUCGGAAUAACAGUUGGAAACGACUGCUAGUACCGGAUGAUGACGAAAGUCCAAAGAUUUAUCGCCAGAGGAUGAGCCCGCGUAGGAUUAGCUAGUUGGUGUGGUAAAGGCGCACCAAGGCGACGAUCCUUAGCUGGUCUGAGAGGAUGAUCAGCCACACUGGGACUGAGACACGGCCCAGACUCCUACGGGAGGCAGCAGUGGGGAAUAUUGGACAAUGGGCGAAAGCCUGAUCCAGCAAUGCCGCGUGAGUGAUGAAGGCCUUAGGGUUGUAAAGCUCUUUUACCCGGGAUGAUAAUGACAGUACCGGGAGAAUAAGCUCCAGCUAACUCCGUGCCAGCAGCCGCCGUAA
This 449-nucleotide ribosomal RNA is filed under the name uncultured bacterium. RNAcentral's name for it is "partial 16S ribosomal RNA". It matches the Rfam family "Bacterial small subunit ribosomal RNA", at positions 29 to 523 of the family's 1533-position model. The record is from RNAcentral.